Molecule: long non-coding RNA, 1451 nt
Organism: Prunus persica (peach)
Lineage: Eukaryota; Viridiplantae; Streptophyta; Magnoliopsida; Rosales; Rosaceae
Exons: 2
Source: RefSeq, a predicted model, not a curated record
CCAAAGUUCUCCGCAGAAGCCCAAUGGUAGUGGAGCCCCACAGGGGUGACCUGAGAUCACAUGUAUGUGGCAACAGCAGAACCCAAGAGGGCCAUCGUUCGGUCCUGCUGUUCUUUGCAUUCCACGUGUUCUCAGGUCGCCCCUGCAGGGCUUUCCUCUAUCGCACAAUCGCGCUUAUAAUUCGGUGAGAUAAACAAGUAGAUAUAGUCCCUCCCCUCGUGUGGAAGUCUUUCUAAGAACAAAUAUUGGCCUUGUCUCGAGUCCCCAAUGUCAGGGUUGACUUUUGUUCCUCUUUGUAUCUCUCCAAUGAUGAAUUCGUUUGAUACAUGGCUGGAGGGUAAUGUGGCAUCACAAGACACAAAAGAGUUGGAAACAACCCAAUAGGCGUCCUCUUGAAGAUGGUUGAGUGUGCGACCGGCUGAGGAUUGAAUACUUUAUAAAUGAAUCCCAAAUUUGGACGUCCAUUGGAACAACUUUCAUAAAGGAACAUGGGUUGAUAAGCAGCUGGAAUUGGCUUCAUUGGACCAUACUUGCUUGAUUAACCAAUAAAACAAGAAAACUAAAGGGUUGUUUCAUAAGCAUUUCAUUUUCAAGUUUUAGUUUCCAUUUUCACUUCUUUUGGUAACGUAUUUUGUUUUUAGUUUUCAAAAGAGUGAAAAUUUGUUUUCAAAAUCACCCUUAAUUUUUAAAAUAACUUGAAAGUGUUUUCAUUUAAAAUUUUUUUUUUUUUGCUCCUUUUUCAUUCACUAAGUGUAUAUCACCACACAUGAAAUUCACUCCAAUUGCCAAAAUUCAGUAUUUGGGACCUCCCCUAACUUGGAAUCUACCACUUGAUUCUUGCCUACACUCUCAUGUAUUUACAUGAGACACAUCCUCGAUUAGGACAUGACUAUAUUGCAUUGUCAAAGAUUAACAACAUAUCCAUAAGACAAACGUGGUACCUCAAGUCUGACUACUUUGCAUUAUGACAACUUAGAGUUCUUGUUUGACAUAUAAGUAAAAAUUCCAUACAAGAACUCUUGUUUGACAACUCAGACUAGUCAUUGUCCGUACAUGAAUGACAUGAGACUAGUCAUUGUCAUUGUGUACUAGUCUUUACAAAUCAUUAAUGCCCAUUUAGCAAUCCUUUAACUAAGGACUAUUUUGGAUACGAGGAUUAGAAUGGAAGAUCUCUUCAAUCGAAUAUCCUGAAUUGUAUUUGCUCAGAUUGAAUUUUGUAAAAUGCUUAAUGUGGAUUCAAUUAUAUGCAUUGAAGACUAUGAAAUGUUGUACGACACUUAAUGUGGAUCGUAAAAUAUUAACUCCAAUAAAAAAUCGUAUUAAAUAGGAUUGAUUAAAAAUCAUUGAUUUUGACCCGAUGUACAACCUAGGCCACCCACAUAUACCCUCUUCCUCCAAGUACAAUUUUAUUUGGAUGCCAGUCAACAUUUAUAAAGUAAAUUUGGGAUCAC